ACAGAGACCUCAAGCGUUAUCCGGAAUCAUUGGGCGUAAAGCGUACCGAUAGGUGGUUUUACUAGUCAGAGGUGAAAUCCCAAGGCUCAACUUUGGGACUGUCCUUUGAAACUGUACAACUAGAGGGGCAAAGAGGAAGCUGGAACGAACGGUGUAGUAGUGAAAUGCGUAGAGAUGUGGAGGAACACCGAUGGCGAAGGCAGCCCCCUGGGUCAAAACUGACGCUCAUGCACGAAAGCGUGGGGAGCAAACAGGA
RNAcentral lists this ribosomal RNA (256 nucleotides) under uncultured prokaryote. RNAcentral's name for it is "partial 16S ribosomal RNA". It matches the Rfam family "Bacterial small subunit ribosomal RNA", at positions 525 to 777 of the family's 1533-position model. The record is from RNAcentral.